UCCCUGGUGGCUCAGACAGUAAAGAAUCUGCCAGCAAUGCAGGAGACCCAGGUUUGAUUCCUGGCUCGGGAA
Non-coding RNA from Bos taurus (domestic cattle), 72 nucleotides. The record is from Rfam. Lineage: Eukaryota; Metazoa; Chordata; Mammalia; Artiodactyla; Bovidae.